This 274-nucleotide unclassified non-coding RNA is filed under the name root metagenome. Its description in RNAcentral is "partial internal transcribed spacer 1". The record is from RNAcentral.
UUUCACCUACGGAAGGAUCAUUGUCGUGACCCUGACCAAAACAGACCGCGCACGCGUCAUCCAAUCCGCCGAUGAUGGAAGCGUCCGUUCCUCGGCCAAGUCCUCGACUGCCUCCCCUCCAUGGAGUGGGGGCUCGGGGUAAAAGAACCCAUGGCGCGGAAGGCGUCAAGGAACACUGUGCCUAACCCAGGGGCAUGGCUAGCUUGCUAGUCGUCCCCCGUGUUGCAAAGCUAUUUAAUCCACACGACUCUCAGCAACGGAUAUCUCGUUUCUC